This 146-nucleotide non-coding RNA is filed under the name Mesorhizobium sp. RNAcentral describes it as "FMN sequence". It matches the Rfam family "FMN riboswitch aptamer (RFN element)". From Rfam's summary of the family: The RFN element is a highly conserved domain that is found frequently in the 5'-untranslated regions of prokaryotic mRNAs that encode for flavin mononucleotide (FMN) biosynthesis and transport proteins. The record is from RNAcentral. Lineage: Bacteria; Pseudomonadati; Pseudomonadota; Alphaproteobacteria; Hyphomicrobiales; Phyllobacteriaceae.
UUAAGUUCUCAGGGCGGGGUGAAAGUCCCCACCGGCGGUGAAGGCUUCGGCCUCAAGCCCGCGAGCGCCUUCCGGAAACGGGAGGGUCAGCAGAUCCGGUGCGAUUCCGGGGCCGACGGUUACAGUCCGGAUGGAAGAGAACGUAC